This 531-nucleotide ribosomal RNA is filed under the name Cnephaeus serotinus (Common serotine). RNAcentral's name for it is "partial 16S ribosomal RNA". It matches the Rfam family "Bacterial large subunit ribosomal RNA", at positions 1803 to 2565 of the family's 2925-position model. The record is from RNAcentral. Lineage: Eukaryota; Metazoa; Chordata; Mammalia; Chiroptera; Vespertilionidae.
UUUACCAAAAACAUCACCUCUAGCAUAAAAAGUAUUAGAGGCACUGCCUGCCCGGUGACUUUAGUUUAACGGCCGCGGUAUUCUGACCGUGCAAAGGUAGCAUAAUCACUUGUUCCCUAAAUAGGGACUUGUAUGAAUGGCCCCACGAGGGUUUUACUGUCUCUUACUUUAAAUCAGUGAAAUUGACAUUCUCGUGAAGAGGCGAGGAUUAAAAAAUAAGACGAGAAGACCCUAUGGAGCUUUAAUUAAUUAACCUAUGAGUUACAAAAUUAUUCUACUAGAAAUAAACAAAUCUCAAUUAGGCUGACAAUUUAGGUUGGGGUGACCUCGGAAUAAAAACCAACUCCCGAGAGAGUUUUAUUGAGACCUACCAGUCAAAGUUAUUCCACUAUAUAUUGAUCCGCCAUUUGGCGACCAACGGAAUAAGUUACCCUAGGGAUAACAGCGCAAUCCUAUUUAAGAGUCCAUAUCGACAAUUAGGGUUUACGACCUCGAUGUUGGAUCAGGACAUCCCAAUGGUGCAGCAGCUAU